Podarcis lilfordi (Lilford's wall lizard) is the source of this 99-nucleotide non-coding RNA. NCBI's taxonomy places the organism in Eukaryota, Metazoa, Chordata, Lepidosauria, Squamata, Lacertidae. The record is from the annotation of a GenBank genome assembly.
AACCUUUACAUGAUAGAAAAUCCAGGAAAAACAUCUACCUUUUCUAGACAGAAAGAAAAAAGGUAGAUGUUUUCUGGGAUUUUCUAUCAUGUAAAGGUU